UUCCGGUUGAAUCYGCCGGAGGUCAUUGCUAUUGGAGUCCGAUUUAGCCAUGCUAGUCCGGGGGKUUUAGACCCGCGGCAUWUAGCUCAGUAACACGUGGCCAAACUACCCUAUGGACAGGGACAACCUCGGGAAACUGAGGCUAAUCCCUGAUAUCACUCUCAUGCUGGAGUGCCGAGAGUGAGAAACGCUCCGGCGCCAUAGGAUGUGGCUGCGGCCGAUUAGGUAGAUGGUGGGGUAACGGCCCACCAUGCCCAUAAUCGGUAUAGGUUGUGAGAGCAAGAGCCUAGAGACGGUAUCUGAGACAAGAUACCGGGCCCUACGGGGGGCAGCAGGCGCGAAACCUUUACACUGCACGACAGUGCGAUAAGGGGACUCCGAGUGCGAGGGCAUAUAGUCCUCGCUUUUCUGUACCGUAGGGAGGUACAGGAACAAGUGCUGGGCAAGACCGGUGCCAGCCGCCGCGGUAAUACCGGCAGCACGAGUGAUGACCGAUAUUAUUGGGCCUAAAGCGUCCGUAGCUGGCCAAGCAAGUCCAUUGGGAAAUCCACGCGCUCAACGCGUGGCGUCCGGUGGAAACUGUUUGGCUUGGGGCCAGAAGACCUGAGGGGUACGUCCGGGGUAGGAGUGAAAUCCUGUAAUCCUGGACGGACCACCAAUGGGGAAACCACCUCAGGAGGAUGGACCCGACAGUGAGGGACGAAAGCUAGGGUCUCGAACCGGAUUAGAUACCCGGGUAGUCCUAGUUGUAAACGAUGCUCGCUAGGUGUWCGUAGCUACGAGCCUUGCUGCGCCCUAGGGAAGCCGAGAAWWGAGCCGCCUGGGAAGUACGUCCGCAAGGAUGAAACUUAAAGGAAUUGGCGGGGAGCACCACAACCGGABKAGGG
This 887-nucleotide ribosomal RNA is filed under the name uncultured haloarchaeon. RNAcentral describes it as "bacterial SSU rRNA". It matches the Rfam family "Archaeal small subunit ribosomal RNA", at positions 1 to 895 of the family's 1478-position model. The record is from RNAcentral. Lineage: Archaea; Methanobacteriati; Methanobacteriota; Halobacteria; Halobacteriales; Halobacteriaceae.